UUUCCACAGAAAAUAUACUAAAAUUAGAAUGACAGCAGACUAGCAUGGUCCCUAUGUAAGGCUGAUACACACAUUCAAGAAGUACUCCAUAUUUUU
This 96-nucleotide small nuclear RNA is filed under the name Balaenoptera physalus (Fin whale). The record is from RNAcentral. RNAcentral also lists the same sequence under 1 other name. Lineage: Eukaryota; Metazoa; Chordata; Mammalia; Artiodactyla; Balaenopteridae.